CAGGAAGUGAUUUUUCUCCAUAAAAAUCACUAGGAGAAACUCAAAAUGGCUAUGUUUUGCACUGUUUAUGGAUGCUCAAAUCGGUCAAACCGAGAAAAAACAAAGAGUUUUUAUCGUGUAACAAAAGUUGUUUCUCAUACGGGGGGGAAUUUCAAGGAAUUGACUGAAAAAUGUAGGAAAAAAUUGUUUGAAAACCUUCAUCUUCUCUUCGGUUGGGAGGAGCCGAGUCAGCUAAUUUAAUGCUUGUGUGUGCAGUGACCAGUUUGUCAGAGGCUGCCCUAGUGCUUUAAAUGAUGUUGAGUCUGUAGACUGGGCUCCUACACCUCGGUUAUCAAAAAUGUAGGCCCACGCCAGAAGCAUUGCGUAAACGAACAGAGAGGUCGAUCAACAUAGACACGCAGAAGCUGCAGAGGCCUUGCUGGAUCUCCGUGAGUCAGCUGAGGACACAUAGCAAGAGGACAACACAGAGAUGUUACCUGAUCAACAAGAUUGUUUAUUGAAGACGCAGGACAACCAGCUAGCAGUGCAUUGCAAUAUUCCAGUCUAGAGGUCAUGAACGCAUGAACUAGCUUUUCUGCAUCAGAAACAGAUGCAGAAUGCCAGACAGACCUAACCAUGGAUGGCAUUGAGAGGAUGAAAGAUGUUCUCAAACACACCACAACACCACACUGGGUGAUCUUAGAACUAAAGCACUUGACAUCCAAUUCAGCCAAGAGUCUUUUCAGAAGAACGAAGACUUGACAAAGUUUUACACUGGACUCCCUAACUUUUUGGUUUUAAUGCAGAUUUUUCAGCUGUGUGAGCCUUAUAUCACCUGUGGAUAUUUGUCUGUGCUUUCUAAAUUUGAACAGUUAAUUGUAAUUUUGAUGAGAUUGAGACUAAACCUUCCUCUGAAAGAUUUGGCUUUCAUGUUCAAUGUCUCUUACUCCACUGUUUCCAGAAUUUGGCACAAGUUAAUUGGCAUACUUCAUGAGAGAUUGGAGUUUUUAAUUGAGUUGCCAGAGUGACAUGUACUUCAAGCCACAAUGCCAGUGCCAUUCAGGCAAGCGUUUGGAUGUAGAGUUUUGAAUAUAAAUGUCAUGAUUUGAAAUGGUCAUUAAAUGAAUAAACUUUGGAUGUUAAUGAUAAAUGAUAUAUAAUACUUUGGUAGACUACAUGAUAGCAUAACAGUACACUGUGUUUUUAGUGAAUUUUGUAUAUAACCUAAGGGCUAAAUUCAAUCAAAAGCUACUGUGGUGUCAUGUAAAGUUCCCCACAAACAAAUAAAUACCAAAUUAGCUGUAAUAAGUUGGGUUAGUUGAUGAAGGACAAUUGAUCUAGCCUCAGUGGACAAAUAUAUAUAGCAGAACAGUGCUCUGCCAUGUGCCACAGUAGCUUUUUUUGAAUUUACCUUCAGACAUAUUAAAUUCAGUAUAAUUUACAAAGUGCACACUGUUUUAGUUCUUUUAAGUAACCACCAAUACUUUUUUGUUGUAGAAUUUAAUCUUUUUUUUAUUUAAUCUCCUCAGCAAACAUCUGCUUGCCAACAAAGAUACAUUCAUGUUAUUCAGUGUUUUUCUUUUGCAAAAUAUGACUGAAUCAAGUGCCUGAGCUGAUGUAAGGUAGUGUCCUUUAAUAAUAUUACAUGUCAAUAUGUUGUUUUGUAACUUUCUGUCCCAACACUUCAGGAAGUAUACAGUUUCUGAAAAAAAUCUCAACUCUGGCAAUCACAUCAUCCCAAAAGCCCAUGUCAGGUAUAAUCCUUUCCAAAAAAAAAUGUCAUUAGAGUUCCACAGUAGAAAAUUGCACAAUGUGAAGCUGUGCCUGGACUUGGUAGUAGUAAGCAUGGCUCCAGUCCAGUGUUAUCUCAUCCCCAUCUUUGAUAAAACAGAAU
This is a long non-coding RNA of Cyprinus carpio carpio, 1873 nucleotides long. Lineage: Eukaryota; Metazoa; Chordata; Actinopteri; Cypriniformes; Cyprinidae. The record is from Ensembl.